CCUACGGGAGGCAGCAGUAGGGAAUCUUCGGCAAUGGACGGAAGUCUGACCGAGCAACGCCGCGUGAGUGAAGAAGGUUUUCGGAUCGUAAAACUCUGUUGUUAGAGAAGAACAAGGGUGAGAGUAACUGUUCACCCCUUGACGGUAUCUAACCAGAAAGCCACGGCUAACUACGUGCCAGCAGCCGCGGUAAUACGUAGGUGGCAAGCGUUGUCCGGAUUUAUUGGGCGUAAAGCGAGCGCAGGCGGUUUCUUAAGUCUGAUGUGAAAGCCCCCGGCUCAACCGGGGAGGGUCAUUGGAAACUGGGAGACUUGAGUGCAGAAGAGGAGAGUGGAAUUCCAUGUGUAGCGGUGAAAUGCGUAGAUAUAUGGAGGAACACCAGUGGCGAAGGCGGCUCUCUGGUCUGUAACUGACGCUGAGGCUCGAAAGCGUGGGGAGCAAACAGGAUUAGAUACCCUGGUAGUCCACGCCGUAAACGAUGAGUGCUAAGUGUUGGAGGGUUUCCGCCCUUCAGUGCUGCAGCUAACGCAUUAAGCACUCCGCCU
RNAcentral lists this ribosomal RNA (545 nucleotides) under Enterococcus mundtii. Its description in RNAcentral is "bacterial SSU rRNA". It matches the Rfam family "Bacterial small subunit ribosomal RNA", at positions 338 to 874 of the family's 1533-position model. Lineage: Bacteria; Bacillati; Bacillota; Bacilli; Lactobacillales; Enterococcaceae. The record is from RNAcentral.